CGCACAUUCCCACUUUCAUCUCAGUCCUAUGCCACUUAUUCCAUUCAUGUAGGAAAACAGCUGCUUACACUGUGAAUCACCAUCAAUAUACAGAGCGUGUGUGUGUGUGUGUGUGUGUGGUUGAGAGCGAGAGAGAGAAGUCUGUCCGUCUAGUGAAGGUGUCUGUUUCCUGCAUGGAAAGACAGCAGGAUGAGGGAGAAAGCAAAGACAGGAAGCAGAUCCGUUUGUUUUAUAGACGCUACACACGCACACACACACACACGCACACACACACACACACACACACAGAAACACAAAGACAGUUUGUCUACAUCAUUUCAGCCUUUGUGAGAAUGAGUACAUGUCGGAGAACAGUAUUGUUUAUUGAUUUUGAUUGGUCAGAAGGAGUUGAUUAAUUUUCUAAUAUGUUAUCGUUUCUAUAGUAACGGCUGUUGGUGUAACAUGCAUACACGUCUUUUUUUCCCCAACACUGUUGUCCAAAGUUUUAUGUGUUGCAAUACUGUGAUUGUGUGCGAUUGUGUGUGUGCAUGGGUGUGUGUGUGUGUGUGUAUGUGUGUGUUGUUGAUAGCUGCACUGGAUCACAUGCAUACCUUUUGUAUAUCUGAUGCAUUCAAAGCGAUGUCCACCAGAGGGCAAUGGAGAGCUCUUCAUGCUCCUUGGUUUCCAUGGCGACCUGUAAAAUGGUUGUGUGAAAAAGUCUUGACUCUUAUUGGUCAGAAAGUGUUGAUCUCUCUCGAGAUUUGAAAGUAUUCAUUUCCAUGUAUGUGCGUGAUACAGAGCCACGAUUAGUUUGUCUAGUCUGUUGAUAUCUGGUUUGCUUGGUAGCGAGUGUGCUUGGUAGUUAGUAUGUUUGGUAGCUAACGUGUUUGGUAGCUAGUUUGCUUGUUAGCUCAUUUGUUUGGUAGCUCAUUUGUUUGGUAGCUAGCUUGUUUGGUAGUUUGUUUGGUAGCUAGCUUGUUUGGUAGCUCAUUUGUUUGGUAGCCACUUUGCUUGGUAGUUAGCUUGCUUGGUAGCUACUUCGUUUGGUAGCCCCUUUGUUUGGUAGUUAGUUUGUUUGGUAGCCCCUUUGUUUGGUAGUUAGUUUGUUUGGUAGCUAGUUUGUUUGGUAGCCCCUUUGCUUGGUAGAUAGUUUGUUUGGUAGCCCCUUUGCUUGGUAGUUAGUUUGUU
Long non-coding RNA from Ictalurus punctatus (channel catfish), 1167 nucleotides. Lineage: Eukaryota; Metazoa; Chordata; Actinopteri; Siluriformes; Ictaluridae. The record is from Ensembl.